RNAcentral lists this long non-coding RNA (770 nucleotides) under Rattus norvegicus (Norway rat). RNAcentral describes it as "long non-coding RNA NONRATT012423". The record is from RNAcentral. Lineage: Eukaryota; Metazoa; Chordata; Mammalia; Rodentia; Muridae.
ACCGGGCUGUUGAAAGCUGUCAUGGAGUCUGUGCCAGCAGCCAUUGAUCCCUGGAGGCACAGGGGGUGGGGCACCUGAUCUUCCCUUCUGCCAUUCCCAUCCAUCAGGCUGUAUGUGUAACAUUCAGCCUUGCCUGGAGUGAUAGAAAGCAGCUGCCUCUGCAGUUCUGGGAGAUCUGCUGUGCCCACUUCCUUCUCCAGGCUCCCCCUGCACCCUGCAUCUGUGGUCAUAAUAUGGCGAUGCACUGCGCAUUCCCAAGACCUCUGCAGCAGCUGCUGCUGCCCAAAUACAUGGAGGCCAGCAGCACACUAGGCUCUUGCCUGCUGUCUGACCAAGACCUUUCUGGGUGACAGUCUAAGUGUGAUGCGAUUGCCUUCGUUUCAGUUUUGGGAGGUGAUAAGCGAUGAGCAUGGCAUCGACCCCACUGGCAGUUACCAUGGCGACAGUGACUUGCAGCUGGAGAGAAUCAAUGUGUACUACAAUGAAGCUGCUGGUAAGGGUUUGGAUGUCAGUCUUGCUUUCCACACUGUGGCAGAGGAAGCAGCAUGCAGACAAGGAAAUGCUUUUUUGCACACUCAUUUAAAAAAAAAACCACGUUGCUGUUCCUGAGGACCUCUGUAUGCUUUGUGUCUCCAUUUUCUUUUUCCUCCUUUGUCUCAAUGCUGGGAUUUCUGCAAUGACUUCUUCUGCUCCAUCCAUCUCCUUUCCCAAGCCCAGUUGUAAGUCAGCUCUUGUCCCCACAGGCAACAAAUAUGUACCUCGGGCCAUCC